UGGGGAAUAUUGCACAAUGGGCGCAAGCCUGAUGCAGCCAUGCCGCGUGUGUGAAGAAGGCCUUCGGGCUGUAAAGCACUUUCAGCGAGGAGGAAGGGUAGUGUGUUAAUAGCACAUUGCAUUGACGUUACUCGCAGAAGAAGCACCGGCUAACUCCGUGCCAGCAGCCGCGGUAAUACGGAGGGUGCAAGCGUUAAUCGGAAUUACUGGGCGUAAAGCGCACGCAGGCGGUUUGUUAAGUCAGAUGUGAAAUCCCCGCGCUUAACGUGGGAACUGCAUUUGAAACUGGCAAGCUAGAGUCUUGUAGAGGGGGGUAGA
RNAcentral lists this ribosomal RNA (318 nucleotides) under uncultured bacterium. RNAcentral describes it as "partial 16S ribosomal RNA". It matches the Rfam family "Bacterial small subunit ribosomal RNA", at positions 355 to 665 of the family's 1533-position model. The record is from RNAcentral.